This is a long non-coding RNA of Neopelma chrysocephalum (saffron-crested tyrant-manakin), 229 nucleotides long. RefSeq lists it as uncharacterized. The transcript is spliced from 3 exons. Lineage: Eukaryota; Metazoa; Chordata; Aves; Passeriformes; Pipridae. The record is from RefSeq and is a predicted model, not a curated record.
UGGUGGGACAUCGCCCAGGAGUUCAUUGCCCACCUGGAGGCCGUGGUGAGCAGCGGGAGGGUGGAGAAAUCCCCCCACGAGCAGGAGAUCAAGUUCUUCGCCAAGAUCCUGCUGCCCCUCAUCAACCAGUACUUCCACAACCACUGCCUGUACUUCCUGUCCACCCCAGCCCAGGUGCUGGGCAGCGGCGGCCACGCCUCCAACAAGGAGAAGGAGAUGAUCACCAGGU